Molecule: ribosomal RNA, 449 nt
Filed under: uncultured bacterium
Lineage: Bacteria
Description: partial 16S ribosomal RNA
Rfam family: Bacterial small subunit ribosomal RNA
Source: RNAcentral
AACGAACGCUGGCGGCAUGCCUAACACAUGCAAGUCGAACGAGAUCUUCGGGUCUAGUGGCGCACGGGUGCGUAACGCGUGGGAAUCUGCCCUUUGGUUCGGAAUAACAGUUAGAAAUGACUGCUAAUACCGGAUGAUGUCGCAAGACCAAAGAUUUAUCGGCAAAGGAUGAACCCGCGUAGGAUUAGCUAGUUGGUGAGGUAAAGGCUCACCAAGGCGACGAUCCUUAGCUGGUCUGAGAGGAUGAUCAGCCACACUGGGACUGAGACACGGCCCAGACUCCUACGGGAGGCAGCAGUGGGGAAUAUUGGACAAUGGGCGAAAGCCUGAUCCAGCAAUGCCGCGUGAGUGAUGAAGGCCUUAGGGUUGUAAAGCUCUUUUACCAGGGAUGAUAAUGACAGUACCUGGAGAAUAAGCUCCGGCUAACUCCGUGCCAGCAGCCGCCGUAA